AACGAACGCUGGCGGCAUGCCUAACACAUGCAAGUCGAACGAGACCUUCGGGUCUAGUGGCGCACGGGUGCGUAACGCGUGGGAAUCUGCCCUUGGGUUCGGGAUAACAGUUGGAAACGACUGCUAAUACCGGAUGAUGACUUCGGUCCAAAGAUUUAUCGCCCAGGGAUGAGCCCGCGUCGGAUUAGCUAGUUGGUGAGGUAAGAGCUCACCAAGGCGACGAUCCGUAGCUGGUCUGAGAGGAUGAUCAGCCACACUGGGAUUGAGACACGGCCCAGACUCCUACGGGAGGCAGCAGUGGGGAAUAUUGGACAAUGGGCGAAAGCCUGAUCCAGCAAUGCCGCGUGAGUGAUGAAGGCCUUAGGGUUGUAAAGCUCUUUUACCCGGGAUGAUAAUGACAGUACCGGGAGAAUAAGCCCCGGCUAACUCCGUG
This 433-nucleotide ribosomal RNA is filed under the name uncultured bacterium. RNAcentral describes it as "partial 16S ribosomal RNA". It matches the Rfam family "Bacterial small subunit ribosomal RNA", at positions 29 to 507 of the family's 1533-position model. The record is from RNAcentral.